Molecule: ribosomal RNA, 368 nt
Filed under: uncultured organism
Description: bacterial SSU rRNA
Rfam family: Bacterial small subunit ribosomal RNA
Source: RNAcentral
CGGAGGGUGCAAGCGUUAUCCGGAUUCACUGGGUUUAGAGGGUGCGUAGGUGGGCAAGUAAGUCAGUGGUGAAAUCUCCGGGCUUAACCCGGAAACUGCCAUUGAUACUAUUUGUCUUGAAUACUGUGGAGGUCAGCGGAAUAUGUCAUGUAGCGGUGAAAUGCUUAGAUACGACAUAGAACACCAAUUGCGAAGGCAGCUGGCUACACAAAUAUUGACACUGAGGCACGAAAGCGUGGGGAUCAAACAGGAUUAGAUACCCUGGUAGUCCACGCCCUAAACUAUGGAUACUCGACAUUUGCGAUAAACUGCAAGUGUCUGAGCGAAAGCAUUAAGUAUCCCACCUGGGAAGUACGAUCGCAAGAUUG